AUUGAACGCUGGCGGCAUGCCUAACACAUGCAAGUCGAACGGCAGCACAGCCCGCAAGAGUGGGUGGCGAGUGGCGGACGGGUGAGGAAUACAUGGGAAUCUACCCUGUCGUGGGGAAUAACGUAGGGAAACUUACGCUAAUACCGCAUACGACCUCCGGGUGAAAGCGGCGGACCGCAAGGCGUCGCGCGACUGGAUGAGCCCAUGUCGGAUUAGCUAGUUGGCGGGGUAAAGGCCCACCAAGGCGACGAUCCGUAGCUGGUCUGAGAGGAUGAUCAGCCACACUGGAACUGAGACACGGUCCAGACUCCUACGGGAGGCAGCAGUGGGGAAUAUUGGACAAUGGGCGCAAGCCUGAUCCAGCAAUGCCGCGUGGGUGAAGAAGGCCUUCGGGUUGUAAAGCCCUUUUGUACGGGAAGAAAUCCUGUCGGUUAAUACCCGGCGGGGAUGACGGUACCGUAAGAAUAAGCACCGGCUAACUUCGUGCCAGCCGCCGCGGUAA
Molecule: ribosomal RNA, 502 nt
Filed under: uncultured bacterium
Lineage: Bacteria
Description: partial 16S ribosomal RNA
Rfam family: Bacterial small subunit ribosomal RNA
Source: RNAcentral